CACGCCCUAAACGAUGCGAACUGGAUGUUGGGCUCAACUUGGAGCUCAGUAUCGAAGCUAACGCGUUAAGUUCGCCGCCUGGGGANCAACGCGAAGAACCUUACCUGGCCUUGACAUGCACGGAAUCCUUUAGAGAUAGAGGAGUGCCUUCGGGAACCGUGACACAGGUGC
This 171-nucleotide ribosomal RNA is filed under the name uncultured bacterium. RNAcentral describes it as "partial 16S ribosomal RNA". It matches the Rfam family "Bacterial small subunit ribosomal RNA", at positions 796 to 1041 of the family's 1533-position model. The record is from RNAcentral.